This 484-nucleotide ribosomal RNA is filed under the name uncultured bacterium. RNAcentral describes it as "partial 16S ribosomal RNA". It matches the Rfam family "Bacterial small subunit ribosomal RNA", at positions 30 to 507 of the family's 1533-position model. The record is from RNAcentral.
AUUGAACGCUGGCGGCAGGCCUAACACAUGCAAGUCGAGCGGAUGAAGGGAGCUUGCUCCUGGAUUCAGCGGCGGACGGGUGAGUAAUGCCUAGGAAUCUGCCUGGUAGUGGGGGAUAGCGUCCGGAAACGGGCGCUAAUACCGCAUACGUCCUGAGGGAGAAAGUGGGGGAUCUUCGGACCUCACGCUAUCAGAUGAGCCUAGGUCGGAUUAGCUAGUUGGUGGGGUAAAGGCCUACCAAGGCGACGAUCCGUAACUGGUCUGAGAGGAUGACCAGUCACACUGGAACUGAGACACGGUCCAGACUCCUACGGGAGGCAGCAGUGGGGAAUAUUGGACAAUGGGCGAAAGCCUGAUCCAGCCAUGCCGCGUGUGUGAAGAAGGUCUUCGGAUUGUAAAGCACUUUAAGUUGGGAGGAAGGGCAGUAAGUUAAUACCUUGCUGUUUUGACGUUACCAACAGAAUAAGCACCGGCUAACUUCGUG